GAACAGGGAAGCCGCAUCCCAAUGUUUGACCGUCCGUCUUAUUUGAAAAAGUUAUGAAAAAAAUUAAAAAGAUAAGUCACGCAUAAAGUAUUAAUUAUGUUUUAUCAUCUAACAACAAUAAAAAUACUAAUUAUAAAAAAUUUCAUAUAAGACGGACAGUCAAACGUUGGCAUGAAAACCCAGAGUUUGCCUUUUU
Molecule: microRNA precursor, 196 nt
Filed under: Oryza barthii
Lineage: Eukaryota; Viridiplantae; Streptophyta; Magnoliopsida; Poales; Poaceae
Description: MIR812 microRNA precursor family
Rfam family: MIR812 microRNA precursor family
Source: Rfam by way of RNAcentral